Molecule: ribosomal RNA, 207 nt
Filed under: uncultured bacterium
Lineage: Bacteria
Description: partial 16S ribosomal RNA
Rfam family: Bacterial small subunit ribosomal RNA
Source: RNAcentral
CGCGUAGGCGGUUUGUUAAGUCGGAUGUGAAAGCCCCGGGCUCAACCUGGGAACUGCAUUCGAUACUGGCAGGCUGGAGUAUGGUAGAGGGAAGUGGAAUUCCGGGUGUAGCGGUGAAAUGCGUAGAUAUCCGGAGGAACAUCAGUGGCGAAGGCGGCUUCCUGGACCAAUACUGACGCUGAGGUGCGAAAGCGUGGGGAGCAAACA